This 518-nucleotide ribosomal RNA is filed under the name Nannoperca vittata. RNAcentral describes it as "partial 16S ribosomal RNA". It matches the Rfam family "Bacterial large subunit ribosomal RNA", at positions 1919 to 2578 of the family's 2925-position model. The record is from RNAcentral. Lineage: Eukaryota; Metazoa; Chordata; Actinopteri; Centrarchiformes; Percichthyidae.
UAUGUUUAACGGCCGCGGUAUUUUAACCGUGCGAAGGUAGCGCAAUCACUUGUCUCUUAAAUGGGGACCUGUAUGAAUGGCAUAACGAGGGCUUAACUGUCUCCUUUUUCAAGUCAAUGAAAUUGAUCUCCCCGUGCAGAAGCGGGGAUAAUACCAUAAGACGAGAAGACCCUAUGGAGCUUUAGACACCAAGGCAGAUCAUGUUAAACACCCCUAAAUAAAGGGCUAAACCAAAAGAAGCCUGCCCUAAUGUCUUCGGUUGGGGCGACCGCGGGGAAACAAAAAUCCCCCACGUGGAACGGGAGAUUCCCUAUUUUUCACCUCCUAAAACUAAGAGCCCCCGCUCUAGUAAACAGAAUUUCUGACCAAUAAUGAUCCGGCAAUGCCGAUCAACGGACCAAGUUACCCUAGGGAUAACAGCGCAAUCCUCUUUUAGAGCCCAUAUCGACAAGAGGGUUUACGACCUCGAUGUUGGAUCAGGACAUCCUAAUGGUGCAGCCGCUAUUAAGGGUUCGUUU